ACUGAUGCGUUCAACGAGUAUACAACCUUGAUCGAUAGGUCUGGGUAAUCUUUUGAAUGCGCAUCGUGCUAGGGAUAGACUGUUGCAAUUUUCAGUCUUGAACGAGGAAUUCCUAGUAAACGCAAGUCAUCAGCUUGCAUUGAUUACGUCCCUGCCCUUUGUACACACCGCCCGUCGCACCUACCGAUUGAAUGACUCGGUGAAAAAUUGGGACCGUGAGUCCGUUUGCUUCAUUGCGAGUGGAUUGAUGGGAACUUUUUUAAACCUCGCCAUUUAGAGGAAGGUGAAGUCGUAACAAGGUUUCCGUAGGUGAACCUGCGGAAGGAUCAUUU
RNAcentral lists this ribosomal RNA (332 nucleotides) under Peronospora pulveracea. RNAcentral's name for it is "SSU rRNA". It matches the Rfam family "Eukaryotic small subunit ribosomal RNA", at positions 1502 to 1831 of the family's 1831-position model. The record is from RNAcentral. Lineage: Eukaryota; Oomycota; Peronosporomycetes; Peronosporales; Peronosporaceae.